This 433-nucleotide ribosomal RNA is filed under the name uncultured bacterium. RNAcentral describes it as "partial 16S ribosomal RNA". It matches the Rfam family "Bacterial small subunit ribosomal RNA", at positions 29 to 507 of the family's 1533-position model. The record is from RNAcentral.
AACGAACGCUGGCGGCAUGCCUAACACAUGCCAGUCGAACGAGACCUUCGGGUCUAGUGGCGCACGGGUGCGUAACGCGUGGGAACCUGCCCUUAGGUUCGGAAUAACUCCCCGAAGGGGGUGCUAAUACCGGAUAAUGUCUUCGGACCAAAGAUUUAUCGCCUUUGGAUGGGCCCGCGUUGGAUUAGCUAGUUGGUAGGGUAAAAGCCUACCAAGGCGACGAUCCAUAGCUGGUCUGAGAGGAUGAUCAGCCACACUGGGACUGAGACACGGCCCAGACUCCUACGGGAGGCAGCAGUGGGGAAUAUUGGACAAUGGGCGAAAGCCUGAUCCAGCAAUGCCGCGUGAGUGAUGAAGGCCUUAGGGUUGUAAAGCUCUUUUACCCGGGAUGAUAAUGACAGUACCGGGAGAAUAAGCGCCGGCUAACUCCGUG